Long non-coding RNA from Haliotis rubra (blacklip abalone), 247 nucleotides. RefSeq lists it as uncharacterized. Lineage: Eukaryota; Metazoa; Mollusca; Gastropoda; Lepetellida; Haliotidae. The record is from RefSeq and is a predicted model, not a curated record. The transcript has 3 exons.
CUUCACUCGUCUUCAGCAUCCUCAGGUGUGGUUGGAGGCUGCCCUUCAAGUGUUCGUCUCCCUUGGUCCAGCUUGGGGUACCCUUAUUGUCAUGGCAAGCCACAAUUCAUUUCACUCGAAUCUCAUAAGGUCCUGGCAUUGGCUUCAUCAUCUACCCAGAAGCUGUCGCACUACUUCCGCUUCCUCAACUGUGGUCUGUCUUCUUUUUCACAACCAUGAUGAUGAUGGCGGUUGACUCAAUGGUAAA